CUGCUCUGAUCGCCACCUCUAAAUCCCACCAAAACCCUAAUAAAUCGCAGCAUUCAAAGCAACAAAAUCAUGUCCGAGGUUGAGCAUGCCCGUUCGGAGAAGAAAAAACACAAGAAAAAGAACACAACCCAAUCCAUGGAAGAACCCAAUGCAAAGCUAAAAGACUCGGAUGUCGCCGCCGGCGACUUCAUGAUCAAGCCCCAGAGCUUUACUCCGGCCAUUGACACUACCCAAUGGCCUAUUCUAUUGAAAAACUAUGACCGUCUCAAUGUUCGUACCGGCCACUACACUCCUCUCCCUUCUGGUUACUCUCCUCUGAAGCGUCCUCUCACUGAGUACAUCCGUUAUGGUGUCAUGAAUCUUGAUAAGCCUGCGAAUCCAUCUUCGCACGAGGUGGUUGCUUGGAUCAAACGGAUUCUCAGGGUCGAGAAAACAGGGCAUAGUGGCAC
This 449-nucleotide unclassified non-coding RNA is filed under the name Hevea brasiliensis (rubber tree). The record is from RNAcentral. Lineage: Eukaryota; Viridiplantae; Streptophyta; Magnoliopsida; Malpighiales; Euphorbiaceae.